This 443-nucleotide ribosomal RNA is filed under the name uncultured bacterium. Its description in RNAcentral is "partial 16S ribosomal RNA". It matches the Rfam family "Bacterial small subunit ribosomal RNA", at positions 339 to 795 of the family's 1533-position model. The record is from RNAcentral.
CUACGGGUCGCUGCAGUGGGGAAUAUUGGGCAAUGGGCGCAAGCCUGACCCAGCAACGCCGCGUGAGGGAAGAAUGUCUUCGGAUUGUAAACCUCUGUCCUUGGGGACGAAAAAAAUGACGGUACCCAAGGAGGAAGCUCCGGCUAACUACGUGCCAGCAGCCGCGGUAAUACGUAGGGAGCAAGCUGUUGUCCGGAAUUAUUGGGCGUAAAGGGUGCGUAGGCGGCGCUGUAAGUCAGAUGUGAAAUCCCCGGGCUUAACUCGGGAGUUGCAUUUGAAACUACAGUGCUUGAGUAAAGAAGGGGUAAGUGGAAUUCCUAGUGUAGCGGUGGAAUGCGUAGAUAUUAGGAGGAACACCAGUGGCGAAGGCGACUUACUGGUCUUUUACUGACGCUGAGGCACGAAAGCGUGGGGAGCAAACAGGAUUAGAUACCCCCGUAGUC